AGCUUUGUGCAAUGGCCGUAUCGUAGCCAAUGAGAUUUAUGCAAGGCACAAUUACUGCUAAUUGAAACUACGAGUGGAGUGUUAAAAUGCAGAAUUCUGGGGCUGGGAGAAGCCUUGAAUUUGAUUUAACUUUCCCACUUCAA
Molecule: small nuclear RNA, 143 nt
Filed under: Cebus imitator (Panamanian white-faced capuchin)
Lineage: Eukaryota; Metazoa; Chordata; Mammalia; Primates; Cebidae
Description: U4 spliceosomal RNA (ENSCCAG00000003051.1)
Rfam family: U4 spliceosomal RNA (bases 1-71)
Source: RNAcentral